Molecule: small nucleolar RNA, 133 nt
Filed under: Castor canadensis (American beaver)
Lineage: Eukaryota; Metazoa; Chordata; Mammalia; Rodentia; Castoridae
Description: Small nucleolar RNA SNORA65 (ENSCCNG00000012845.1)
Source: RNAcentral
CCCACCACCACACCUGACCAGUUCUCUGUUGACUGGUGCAAUACAAUGGUGAGCUCAUAGUAAACCAUAUCUUGUAGAAAGACAGGGUUAUUCUAAAUGUGAAUAAUUCUUUGCCAAAAGUAUGAGAACAGCU